CUUCUCUUCCUCCUCCUCCUCCUCCUCCUCUUUGUUUUCUUCUUGUUUUUAACGCUCGCCCGGCCCCCUCUCCUCAUCCUCUCUCGGUUGAGCCCCAUCCCUAGCCCCGAUCGGCGAUCGACGAUUCCGCUUCUCCGCCGCCGUCGACCUCGCCGCCGUCUGAGGUAACAAUAUGCCCCGAGGGAGACGAUUUAGAGAUGUGGAGUUCCAGCAUUCUCAGGUGGGAUCUACUUCUGAUCAGUCCCAGCAGUCAUGUGAGCACCAGCAGCAUGAGUCAGAAUCUCAGCGCGAGCCUCCUGCUGAUUGUCCGGAGGAUGAGCUCCGGAUCCAGGAUGGACAAGGGACGGUGAGGACGAGACGGGGACCCACCCAAGCAAAGGAUGUGUGGA
Non-coding RNA from Phoenix dactylifera (date palm), 389 nucleotides. Lineage: Eukaryota; Viridiplantae; Streptophyta; Magnoliopsida; Arecales; Arecaceae. The record is from RefSeq and is a predicted model, not a curated record.